Molecule: long non-coding RNA, 4981 nt
Filed under: Homo sapiens (human)
Lineage: Eukaryota; Metazoa; Chordata; Mammalia; Primates; Hominidae
Description: non-protein coding lnc-PERP-2:16
Source: RNAcentral
ACUGCUUUUCUGAGAGGCCAGGUGGCAGGAUGUGGGACGACUCCAGCUGACAAAGACAGUCUAACCGUGGGGUAGGGGCUGGAGCAGGGGCCAGCGACCCACGUCUACAUGCAUACUUCUCUUACACUGCUGCUACUGGAAAAGCUGAACCCCGCGCCAGGACCCCAGCCCCCUGCAAGGACCCGUGAGCGUCUGGGAAGCUGUCUCUGGGACUGAAGCCCCCCACCUCCGCCGGGCUGGCGGCCACUGCGGUACCCUACGCCCCGUCGGGCUGGUCCUGCACAAUUUGGGAAAAAGCCGCAGCGCUUCUGCAAGGUCUACGUGGCCAUGAGCAUGCAACGCUUGGCUCCAAAAAAGACACGAAAGGAGCAAAGCGCCAACGACCACCCGAUCGGAGGGCCCGAGGGGCGCCUCUUCACCAGUCAGCUGCAGCUUAAGUUCCGUGCAUUAUCUGAAAGGAACAGCUGGCUGGAGGUAUCCAGGGCUGUCACUCCAACCUCUGCAGCAGUGACCUCAACUCCCAGCACUUCAAAACCCAGACAGAAACGUCCAACAAACUCCCAGUCCAGGAGCGCUGCAAAACCAACGCCAGUUGUUUUUCUGCAGAAAAUCAUCAACUGUGGAGAAGAAGAAGGGAAAUAAGAAAGAAAGAAAACCCUAAAAACCACCCUGGCGCCCGGGCCCGCAGGCCUCGGGCCGGCUCUGAAAAGUUUGGGCUGUGCACGUGAUGAGCGCGUAGGCGGGAGCCCCAGACAGGACCCGGGCGGGCAUUUCGAGAAAAAGCAGCGGUGACAGCCUUUGGUCCCCAUCUCCAUUGUUCCUGCCAGCUCUGGACCCCAGGCUGCAUGAGACGUAGGUCCCAGGGGACACCCGACCCCGUGGCCCCAGUCUUAGGUAAACUUAGGAAUCAGAACAACACUCACCCCUAUGCCGCGCUUGCUCCAUUUCCCCUUGUCUAUUUCUGCUCACCAAGCAUCCAGCUGACAUUGCAUUCAAAGCAGCAUUUCAGCUUAGAAAUCGCUUCUAGUCCAUCACGGUGCUUGCCAUGUGUCUCCAAGGCUUUAUUAGGUGUGUUUUUAGUUGUCCUGAUAAUCAGUUCACCCCAGGGUGCUGAUGGCUGAUAAUACUGGCGCUUCCCUCCCUACCCCCAUGCGUUGCACAGGGAGGGUGAGUCAUGUGGAGAUGGAUGCAGCCCCCUGGGCAGUGGGGGUGCAGGUGCUGUGCAGGGAGGAGUCUUAGGGCGUUUUUACUGUCUUACUGCCCUCUAAGCACGGGACCCUUUGGAUCAUUUACUAGAUUGGCUAAACUAGAACCGGAUGGAAAUAUUCUGUACUAUGGUCCCCUUAAUUACAUUUAAGAAUACUUGUCAGGCCAUAUAUCACAGGUUUUUAAUUAGAAAAGUAUCCUCCUCUCGCCAGUAAGGACUUGCAGAGAUGGGGGUGGGGGCUGGAUGGAGGGUGGCACUUUUUUGGCAAAAAGAAGUUUGGAGCAGAGUGUCACUAGUGGCCUCUCUGAAGACUGGUCCUCGUCUUUUAAAACCGAUGGCUGGAAUUUCUUCCAGUUCCAAACCUCUUGUUAUUUGUCCUCUCUUCUUGUUCACAAAUGUGCUAUCAACAUUCAAACAAUGGAUAGUCAGCUAUCCAUUGUAAAUGGACCUUGCUGGAGUCCAGGGCUAGCAGAAAUGACAGGGUCUAAAAUGACAUUUAUCAAGUACUUGCUAUAUGCUUAUAUAUGCUUUUUAUAUGAAGGUUAAGAAGCUUGAGGCAUUUGCCCAGUUUCCACAACCAAAAGGGGCAGAGUCGCCAGUGGCAUUAAGCCUGUGUUACUCCAAAGCCCAUAAUGACCAGUCUUACUAGACCAUUCCUCUCAGGAAAGAUCCUGUGAGACAGGUACUCUUUUGGUGUCCUGUCUCCCAGCCUCUCAAAACAGCCAAACACGGACCUUAGACAGAAUGCGGCUUCAGAGGUAGAAGGGUCUUGGUUUCACCUUCAGGAAACCUCCUGGGUUUCAGUUGAGCUGGCAGAAGAAGAUCAUGUAUCUGAAAGACCCUGCAUGGAAUGUUAAUCCUCACACCACUCUCCUGCUGGUGCUCCUUUGUAAACAGAGUUGGCCUGUUUCCUCUCAUCUCUGGCUCCAUGACUUCAAUCCUCCUGCAGCUUCCACUGCCCCUAUCUGGCUCAUGUCUUGCUGUCUGGUGUCAUGAACUGGGAGUGCAGUAAAGAGGAGUGACAAGCCUGAGGGGCCACGUUCAUACCUGCCACUGCCAACUGUCCUGAUGUAACUGCUUUGUCAUCUUGCCUGCCAGGAUUUGUGACAAGUCUAGUUUGGGGUCUCUAUAAUCCUGCUCCUUUGGCUGCCAGCCAUCUCCAUAAAAAAAGAAUUUGAAAGGCUUCCAUUCUUUCAGAGACCUGUUUCCCGGGACUGGCUGCAAGGGAGAGAUGCACUGACCUUCUGCCAGGUAUAGAACUAUUGAAUGGUACAGUUUGAGAUCUUCGAAACCAUCAGGACUGAUCAUUUUCUGGCUACUUUCUACAUAGGAAUCCUAGAGUUCCUUGGAGAGGAUAUGAAGGUUAUUCUCAGGCCAUGCAGAUGGGCAAGAAAGGAUGUGCGUCCAUGGUUCCUCUUCAAAUCCAACCAAAACAGCCUUGCUUCCGUUGGCUUUAUAUAAUACUGCAACUCUUGAUAAUCUGAUUUAACACAAAUUUCCUCAUUGAGUUUCUCCUCAUGAAGAAACGGCCUCAGUGAGGUAAAUCGGAAUGCACAGGAGCACAUAGCAGGUUAGUGCAGACCAGAAAUCAAACCCAGGCUUUCUGACUGCUCAAUAGACCACAAUCUACCAUGCUACCAUGGAAACUUUAAAACAGAUGAAAGUAAAAACAAACAAACAACAACUUAAAAAAACAAAAACAAAAACAAAAGCAAAACCCAGAGCCUCUCUAGGAAAUACCAACGUGCUUUUGCCAAGUGGGGUUUCUCUCACUUCAUAAGAGCAGUAAACACUAAACCAAGGGAAUGUGAAUUUAGAGGUUAGAAAAGAUAACCAGAGAUUUGGCCGUGCGUGGGGCUCAUGCCUGUAAUCCCAGCACUUUGGGAGGCUGAGGCUGGUGGGUUGCCUGAGGUCAGGAGUUUGAGACCAGCCUGGCCAACAUAGUGAAACCCUGUCUCUACUAAAAAUACAAAAAUUAGCUGGGUGUGGUGGCGUGCACCUGUAAUCCCAGCUACUAGGGAGGCUGAGGCAGGAGAAUCGCUUGAACUGGAGAGGUGGAGGUUGCAGUGAGCCGAGAUGGUGCCAUUGCACUCCAGCCCGGGCAAGAAGAUUGAAAUUCCAUCUCAAAAAAAAAAAAAAAAGAAGAAGAAGAAGAAAAGAUGCCAGAGAUUUGGCGGGGUGCCGGGCUCAUGCCUGUAAUCCCAGCACUUUGGGAGGCCAAAUGGACAGAUCACUUAAAGUUAGGAGUUCCAGAAAAGAUGCCAGAGGUUGGGCCUUUACAUUGUUUUGUAAAUUCGUCAAACCUUAAUCUUAUUUAACUUCCCCACCUAUACAAAAAUUAAUGCAGUAAUUGCUUUUUAAGGAAGCAUUCCAAAGGCCAAAUAAUUCAUAUAUGUCAAGUACCCUGGGAUUCAGGAAAGAAAAAUUCUCUAUAGCUCUAAAGCAAGGAUUAUAAUUUGAGGUUUCCUGACAGUUUUUUUUAAGAAAAGAAAUACCAACCUUUCUUUUCUGGGCCAAAUGCCAAGGUAGGUAAUAACCCCUUGCCCAUUUUCUUUCCCCAAGCUGUUUUAACUAGAUAAGAGCUCUGCCUUCAUUUCCUUUUGUGAACUGACUUGGGAUGUUGCCACAUGCCCUUCAACUACUGUCAAUGCUCUAGUUUGCUGAGUGCUUUCCCCUUCAGAAUGGAAAAGGUUUUGGCAUAAAUAUCUAGCUUUCUUCAAGGUACAAAAUGCUUUCCAAGGAGCAGAGGACAGAGGGAACAAACUUUCAUGUUUCCCAAUUGUAUUAGUCUGUUCUCAUGCUGCUAAUAAAGACAUACCCAAGACUGUGUAAUUUAUAAAGGAAAAAGGUUUUACUGACUCACAGUUCCACAUGGCUGGGGAGGCCUCACAAUCAUGGUGGAAGAUGAAGGAAGAGCAAAGGGAUGUCUUCCAUGGCCAGCAAAAAGAGAAUGAAAGCCAAGGGAAGGAGAAAACACCUUAUAAAAUCAUCAGAUCUCAUGAGACUUAUUCACUACCAUGACAACGGUAUGGGUGAACUGCCCCCAUGAUUCAGUUAUCUCCCACCGGGUCCCUCCCACAAAAUGUGGGAAUUAUGGGAGCUACAAUUCAAGAUGAGAUUUGGGUGGGGACAGAGCCAAACCAUAGCACCAAUACUAGAUCCCUCAGCUUCAAGGUGGCUCCAGUGAUCCUAAGAGGAUCAAGGAAGCCCUACCUCCCUGCUUGUCCUGGAUGUCUCUGACACAUGUUAAGGGAAAAGCAUUAAUAAAGUGCUCAAGAAACAAUUGUUCAAUAGGUCAGUCUUAUAGUCAAUACCUCAUCCCAUGCUCUGUCCCCUACUCUUUGAAAAACUGCCCAAAGAAACAAUGGAUCCACGGAGUCACAAAAACAGGGCAUCCAGUGACCCUCCCCAUCUUACCAGCAAUGUGACUUUCCCACAGUAUAACGACAGCAGUGCCCAGAGCCCAAUACAAGCAGGGCUCUACACUGAGACAGAGCUGAGUUCUAGUAGCAACUACCCUCCUUAUAGCAGUGUUAUUUUAGGCAAGUUUCUCAGCUUCUGGAAGGUUCUUUUCUCAGGCUUACAUACUUUUUACCCGAAAAGAUCUUGGAGUCGUCCAUAUCAGCACAAGCAAUCUACAUUAUUAGUUUUUUUAAUGGCUGCACAGCAUUCCAUGAUAUGGCUGUACCAUUACUUAACUAUCGAUGAACAUUUAGGCAGUUUCCAGUCUCUUUCUGCAGGAGCCAAUGCUGCAAUGUGGUGGGUCAUAACUUU